RNAcentral lists this ribosomal RNA (888 nucleotides) under Amphidinium massartii. RNAcentral's name for it is "LSU rRNA". It matches the Rfam family "Eukaryotic large subunit ribosomal RNA", at positions 32 to 975 of the family's 3401-position model. Lineage: Eukaryota; Dinophyceae; Amphidiniales; Amphidiniaceae. The record is from RNAcentral.
AAAUAGCAUAUAAGUAGGUGGAGGAAAAGAAACCGAAUGGGAAUCUCUUAGUAAUGGCGAAUGAAAAGAGAUGUGCUUAGUGUCAAAAUCAGGUUUUCCUGAAUUGUAGGCUGUAGGGGUUAUGCCAACUUGGGUGCAGGUGAAAGUCUCUUGGAAAGGAGCACCAGUGAGGGUCAGGGUCCCGCCUGUCAUCUGUCAUCCCUUGUGAACGGUUUGCCCAUUGAGAGUCGUGUUCUUCUGGAAUAGAGCGCCAAACGGGUGGUACUCUUUGCCUAAGGAGCAUUACGUGCUUGAGACCAAUAGCGAACAAGUACCAUGAGGGAAGGGUGAAAAGGACUUUGGAAAGAGGGUUAAGAGGGCAUGAAGCUGCUGGAAGGGAAGUGGAUUGGACUUUUACUCUACGGUAAGAUUGCAGGCUGUAGUCCUCACUUGUGGGGAACUAUGUACUGUGUCUCUUGCUGUAUGGUUGAGCUUUGUGUAGCGCUCAGAAUCUUAGCGUGGACUGGAUAAGGGUUGCGAUCUGGACCAUGUCCUUGCCUACUCUUAGCGCAACAUCUAUCUUGACCAAAUGGUUCAAUUUUACCCGUCUUGAAACACGGACCAAGGAGUCUAAUGCGUGUGCGAGUGUAAGGGAUUGACACCUGACAGCUCAACAAAGGUGACUGCUGGGAUUCUUGCACCAGCAACCAACUGAUCGCUUAGGAGAUGUUUGUGUAUGAGCACACUUGCUAGGACCCGAAAGGUGGUGAACUAUGCCUGAGAAGGGUGACGUCAGGGGAAACUCUGAUGGAAGCUCGUAGCGCUACUGACGUGCAAAUCGUUCGUCUGACUUGGGUAUAGGGGCGAAAGACUAAUCGAACCAUCUAGACGUGCCUCUCUCUCCCGCCA